This 978-nucleotide long non-coding RNA is filed under the name Homo sapiens (human). Its description in RNAcentral is "HSALNT0397991". Lineage: Eukaryota; Metazoa; Chordata; Mammalia; Primates; Hominidae. The record is from RNAcentral.
ACAAAAAUAAAGUGUUAUUUGACUGGAGUGAGGUCUCAUGUCUGCUUAUGCGGUGGCUCGCUGCUCAGAACAGGGAGGAAGAGGGUAAUCUGGAAGAGUUUCCUGACCUACUCUGCUGCUGUGAUUAAACAACCACCAGGAAAUUUUGAUGACACUGUUCUCCUGAGCUCCUCCCUUUCCUCGGGGAAGAAAAGCAUUGAAACUACAAAAAUAAAGUGUUAUUUGGCUGGAGUGAGGUCUCAUGUCUGCUUAUGCGGUGGCUCGCUGCUCAGAACAGGGAACCAUUGGAGAUACUCAUUACUCUUUGAAGGCUUACAGUGGAAUGAAUUCAAAUACGACUUAUUUGAGGAAUUGAAGUUGACUUUAUGGAGCUGAUAAGAAUCUUCUUGGAGAAAAAAAGACUGGAUCUUUCAUUGUAGUACUUCUGAAUUAACCAAAAUCACAGUAUUCUGAAGAUGAUUCUACAAAGCCUGCUGUUUCUACAAAGGCUGCUGAUGAUUUCUACAAAGCCUGCUGUAGUGUUGCUGUGGCCUCUGCUUAAAAAAGUAGAAAACACAUUGAUGCAGCAUGUUCACCCCAACCUCCCUGCCUAAAGGCUCAGGGACCAUCUUGGAAGAGGAAGGCGCGUGAGAUUGUAAGAGCCGAAUUAGGGGGAUGGAGUGUGGAGAAUAAGGACACUUCAUCUUGGAUGCUCACCUGCCAAAUUGACUUCUGAUGAAAGCCAGCUCCAGAAAUGUGCCUACAGUUACUACUUUCACCUAAACCCUGCCCUUAGUCAAAUCCUUCUCUUCUUCUAAGCAAUCAACUUCAAUUCCUUGUAUAACCCACAGUAUAAAAGGGCUUUUAUACCAUUCUAUCCUAUUGCAUGUAAGCCUUGGGUCUGGGAGGUAACAGUGUGGGAUUCCACCAUCUCAUCUCCCUGCCACCCAAACAUGCCUGCUCUUCUUUAAGCAAUAUUAAAUGUUUGUACUUCAGAAA